GACGAACGCUGGCGGCGUGCUUAACACAUGCAAGUCGAACGGAAAGGCCUGCUUUCCCUUGUGGAUUGCGGGUACUCGAGUGGCGAACGGGUGAGUAUCACGUGAGUGAUCUGCCCCCAACUUGGGUAUAAGCCUGGGAAACUGGGUCUAAUUCCCGAUAGGACUGCAGGGUGGUGCCUGUGGUGGAAAACGAUUUUCUAGUGGUUGGGGAUGAGCUCGCGGCCUAUCAGCUUGUUGGUGGGGUAAUGGCCUACCAAGGCGGCGACGGGUAGCCGGCCUGAGAGGGUGGACGGCCACAUUGGGACUGAGAUACGGCCCAGACUCCUACGGGAGGCAGCAGUGGGGAAUAUUACACAAUGGGCGGAAGCCUGAUGCAGCGACGCCGCGUGGGGGAUGACGGCCUUCGGGUUGUAAACUCCUUUCGACCGCGAGGAAGCCACCUGGUUGGAAGGGUGGUGACGGUAGUGGUAGAAGAAGCACCGGCUAACUACGUG
This 494-nucleotide ribosomal RNA is filed under the name uncultured bacterium. Its description in RNAcentral is "partial 16S ribosomal RNA". It matches the Rfam family "Bacterial small subunit ribosomal RNA", at positions 28 to 507 of the family's 1533-position model. The record is from RNAcentral.